GACGAACGCUGGCGGCGUGCUUAACACAUGCAAGUCGAACGGAAAGGCCCUGCUUUUGUGGGGUGCUCGAGUGGCGAACGGGUGAGUAACACUUGAGUUACCUGCCCUUGACUUUGGGAUAACUUCAGGAAACUUGGGCUAAUACCGGAUAGGAUCUCCUGCUGCUUGGUGGUGGUUGGUAAGUUUCGGCGGUUGGGGAUGGACUCGCGGCUUAUCAGCUUGUUGGUGGGGUAGUGUCUUACCAAGGUUUUGACGGGUAGCCGGCCUGAGAGGGUGACCGGCCACAUUGGGACUGAGAUACGGCCCAGACUACUACGGGAGGCAGCAGUGGGGAAUAUUGCACAAUGGGCGGAAGCAUGAUGCAGCAAAGCAGCGUGCGGGAUGACGGCCUUCGGGUUGUAAACCGCUUUCGCCUGUGACGAAGCGAGAGUGACGGUAAUGGGUAAAGAAGCACCGGCUAACUACGUG
Molecule: ribosomal RNA, 468 nt
Filed under: uncultured bacterium
Lineage: Bacteria
Description: partial 16S ribosomal RNA
Rfam family: Bacterial small subunit ribosomal RNA
Source: RNAcentral